UUCGUCCCGAGGGUUGGCUCCUCUGCUCCAUCCCAUCACCCCUUCAAAGCCUGCAAAGAGAGCAAAAAAGAAACGAAAGUAGCAGCCAUAACAGAGGCUGAAACAGUGAUAGAACAGUAGCAAGGACAAGAGCAUACAGAGAGCAGAACCUAGACAUAAAUGGUAACGAGGAAUAAUAUUGUAUUGUUAUUUUUCGGCUAUAAAGUCACUGAAAAACGGAUGUAAAAAAGGGGGGAUUCAAAAAAUAUACGAAAAUCAAUCAAAAACGAAAAUUUCAAAAGGUUAUCUUUUGCUCUUAGUUUGGUUUCAAUUUCUGUUUUCAUAUUUUUUUUCUUUUUAUUAUUACAAUCGGAAAUCAAAAAGAAAAAGGGAGGGAAUACCCUUACCGUUGAUUUUUUUUCCGGCCGCCAUCGUUGGUGUCGCACAACGGAGCAGCUGCAAGGAUGGGCUAACUCUUUUGCCCUAGCAAAGAAAGAUUGAAAACCUAUUUUGCUUCUUUUGAUUUCAGCGCAAGCUAGGCUUUGAAAACCUAGCAGAGGAAAAGAAGAAAAAAUAGGGAGGUGGGCUCUGUAAAUUUUUUAAAAAAGAAAAAGGAAAGGGGUCACCCGAAUAGGUGCUUUAUUUGUUAUUUAUUUCUCCUGUACUAACAUGUUUUGUUUUUGUUUUUGUUUUUUUAUUAUUAUUAUAUAAAUGCAUUGCAUUACCUCAUCAUAGAAAGGAGGUGUUGAUUCAUAUUUGAUUACUAAAUAGAGCAGUUUGUUAUAAGAAAAUGAAUUUCUUGAUAAAGUGGAUUAUAAUGCAGUUGUCUAAAUAUAGUCCAAGUAAACACGAAGAAAGAAGGCUGACAGCCCAUGAAGAAACACACAACUUGGCUUCAUUGCCCGAGGAUUAAAACCGGUAAAGGUUAUGCGAGAGCCAUCACGUCUUGACUUUCUUAAAGAAGCUGACGAUUAUCGCGGGGAUAAGUGAGCAACGAGUCGCAGCCUGGAUCAAGCAAAAAUGAGUUAAUGGGGACAUCUUUCAGAAAAUUCACGAGACUCAACCAUAACAUCAUGAUAUGAAGAGGAAGAUAGGUGUCUUCGCCUGGAAUAUGAGAGAAAGACCGUAUAUGUAGUCCGUUUUAUGUAAAGGAAUUUGUUUUCUAGAAAAGUUGUUCUAAUGAAAUUGAAUUCAGAAUCAAUGUCUUCAUUUCUUUUGCAUUCAUUUCAUGCAUUUACAUUGCAUUGCAUUAUUUACAUUAGACUUUCCUUAAAAGAACCCUAAUUAGGUGAAAUUAUUUCAGUUAACUUGGGAACCGACAAAAGUUAAGCGACUAGACACCUUUACGGUACAAGAAAAAGGAUAAAAGAUAUGGAUCAAAGAUUGGAAAGACUGGAACAACUUCAAAAAGAGAUGCAAGACUAGUUACAACUGCAAAUGCAAGAGCAACUGGCAAAGAUCCAGAAAGAUAUGAGGGACCAGAUACUAGAGUCCCAAAGAAAUAUGAUGAAUCAGUUGUCCCAAUUACUGACUAAGGGACUAGGAAAAGAAAAAAAACUCCAUGAUCAAUGCUGGGGAGGACAAUAAGGAGCCUCUGUACCCUCCAAGUUUCACCCCGAUAAACGAUCAGACAUAUCCGCAAGAUGUACCCAUUGCUAUCAGAUCACAACAACAUCAGACCGGUACCUCGGCACUCAUAAAUUACCUGACGGGCUCAGGUUCCAAUCCAAGGAAUAGUCCAACCAAUCAUGAAGUUCCUAAUUUAGACGAAAUGGCAGGAAUAGAAAAAGCAAAAGUUGAAUUGCCAAGACAAAGAUCGAUACAAGCGGUUGGAAGAAAAACUUAGAGCGACGGAGAAUGCUGAUUACCAUCGCGGGGUUGACGCCAAAGAUCUCAGCUUGGUCCCAGAUUUAGUACUCCAGCCGAAAUUCAAGACUCCGAAAUUCAAGACGCUGUCUUGAAGCUCACAUCAUGAUGUUCUGCCGAAAAAUGACAGGUUAUGUUGAUAAUAAUCAACUGUUAAUUCAUUGCUUCCAAGAUAGUCUGACUGGGUCAGCUGCCAAAUGGUACAACCAACUGAGCCGUGCCAAAAUUCAUUCAUGGAAGGACUUGUCAUAGGCUUUCAUGAAGCAAUACGGCCACGUGACAGACAUGGCACCCGAUAGAAUUACACUGCAUAAUAUGGAAAAGAGACGAAGUGAUAACUUCAGGCAAUAUGCCCAAAGAUGGAGAGAGGUAGCAACACGAGUCCAACCACCUCUUUUGGAGAAAGAAACUUCGAUGCUUUUCGUCAAUACUCUAAAAGCCCCUUCAUUACCCAUAUAUUGGGAAAUGCUACCAUGAGCUUCUCAGAUAUAGUAAUGUCUGGCGAGAUGAUUGAAAACGCAAUCAGGAGUGGGAAGAUAGAUGUGGGAGAAAGCGCUAAAAGGUCAACCCCGAGAAACAGCGAAGAUGAAGUGAACAUCGUGAGCAUACCUUCCAAAUUGCUCAACAUAGGCCAGUCGAGGAUUGUAACAACUAGCUAUCAAAGCUCUUCAAGGCAAGAAUCUAACUCGAGGCCGAAUACAGAAAGGCUCCGGUUUACACCCAUCCCGAUGUCAUAGAAAGAGUUGUAUCAAAAUCUCUUUCAUGUGCAUGUCGUGUCUCCGUUUUACUCAGAACCCGUGCAACCUCCGUUCCCAAAAUGGUAUAAUGAGAAUGCUCAAUGCGAGUACCACGCGAGAAUAACAGGACACUCAAUCGAGAACUGCACUACGUUUAAAAAGUUGGUCGAAAGGUUCAUUGAAAUGGGAGUGGUGAAGUUUAACGAUUCCUCAGAACCAAAUCACUCCGACAAUGUAGUAAACGCGAUUUGCGAUACCUUGAACAAGUUAAAGCCUGGAAGGAAUAUCGAGAAAUCUGAAUGACAUUUUCGAAGAGGGAACCGGGGAAUAAAAGUUUCCAAACCCUUGCAUACUUGGGAGUGUUUUGAAUCAUGAGACUGUGGAGGAGACUCCUGUAUUUUUAGAGCUAAUCUAGAGUAACAUUCAAAACAUGCUUGUUGCUUUAAGCCUCCUGUAUUUUUAGAGCUAAUCUAGAGUAACAUUCAAAACACGCUUGUUGCUUUAAGCCUAGAAGCAACAAGAAUCUUUUCGUGAAAUAGGCUUAUGUCCAAAAUCCUUAUUUCAAUAAAAUGCAUGUUUGUUAUCAUUUUGAGUAAAUAUUCUUUUAUUCUAUCCAUUUCAUAUUGUACAAACAAUUAUUCUUAAAUUCUUUUAUUUUUGUACUUUCUUUCAAAUAUUCUUUUAUUUAUUAUCAUACCAUACAAAUAAUCAUCCUUAGAAUUAUUUUUUCUUUGGAAUUUUCCUACAGCAGGUCCUCAGAUAUCAAUGACAUGAGCAACGUUACUACUGACCCAGAAUCUCCUUUUGAGUGAGAUAUAUGUCUUGAGGGAUCUCAAGACUUGGAAGAUGAUAAAGAUUGUAACAUAUCUCCUGAUUUGUUAAAGAUGGUAGAGUAAGAUGAAAACAGAUCUUACCUUACAAAAAGUCAGUGGACAGUAAGCCUAGGACAAGAGAAAGAGGCAAACAUUGGAGUCUGCAUCACCACAAAGACAAAACAAGACAUCAUCGAGUCAUUCCAAGAAGUCAAAGAUGUUUUCACAUGAUCGCAUCAAGAUAUGCUUGGGUUACUAAGAUGUGAGGAUGCUACAAGGUGUUUGAACAGCAUACGCUAAUAGUUUUAUAAUGCCCAGGCUAAUCAUGAUAUUCGGAUUCUACUGGUCUAACGUAGAAGGGAAUUGCAUCAGUUAUGUCGUAAAUGCUAAAUUUAUGAAGACAAGAUUCAUGUGCCCCUUCAUUUCUUCGUAGACUUUCUCUAUGUAGGGCAUGGAGUUUAUGGGCCGAUCUCUUUGAAAGCUUCUAACCAAUACAGAUUCGUCUUUGGGGUCGUCGAUUACUCAGCAAAAAGGGAGAAAGUUGUUUCAUAUGCUAAUGUCACUAAGUCGACAGUCAUCAAAUUCCAAAAAAAGAUGCCAAAAAAUGCCAGAAAAGAUCAUGUUCAACACAACUGCACAAUGUCAAAAGUUUGCAGUCUGUUCAAAGAUUGGGCGCUAUAUUGCAAAGCCAAAGGCAAAGGCAAAGGCAAAAAAAAAAAAGAACCCAACAACAAACUAAAAAUCAUGGAGCAGAUGACCGAGACUUGUAAAGAUUGUUAUAAAAAGUCACCAUGUUUAUCGAACGACAGUCAGGAUCUUAGCCGGGGUAACAAAUUGCUCAUUGGUUUAUGGAAUAGAAGCGCUCUCGAUGAGAUUACUUUUCUCCGAGUCUUGUCAGAGCUGAAGUUGGAUAAGGCAAAAUGGAUCCAAUCCUAGUAUGAUUAGUUGGAUUUGAAGAAAAGAGGUUGAAAGCCAUCUAUCAUGAGCGAUGUAAGCUUACGAUGAAGAGAUUCAUCCUAGAGAAUUCUAUGAGGGGAACUUGAUAUUCCUAUACAAAAUGACUACAAAAAAGGUGGAUGCCAAACUGAGAAGGACCUUAUGUAAUAAAGAAGGCCUGUUUUAGAGAGGCAUUAAUUUUGACCGAAAUGGAUAGCAAAGAUUUGCCCAAGUUGGUGAAUUCGGAUUUCGUCAAGAAGAAUUUCACCUAGAAAGUGAGAGGCCAAGGCGAAAACUUGCAAAUGGCGCAAAGACCUACAAAAAAAAGGGGGGAAAGAAGAAAAGAAAAGAAAAAGGAGAGGCCAAGGCGAAAACCAACAAAGGGCGCCUUGAGACCAAAGGGGAUUUGAAUUGAAAACGCGAAAAGGGCGGCUCAAAUUUUGAUCAAAGUGGGCCAUACAGUAGUCUUGCUAUGCUUGAAUUAACAAUAAAGGAAUACGCUAUGUCUGGGGGCAUCGACAAAGUACUCCGGAUCCCUUAAACACAUAUUGAGCUUAGAAAGGUCAUCAAGAAGUUGUUACAAAGAAGCUCAAGCUGCGAUAUCUGGGGCACCUAGCUUCCAUUUUGCUUAUUUUGAAUUUGUUAUAUUUGAUUACCUUAUUCUUUUUAAGAUACGUCCCAAUAAACUUUCUUCUUAUUGCAUUGCUAUCUUUGAUUAACUUAUUCAUGUUGAGUUAAUUGCCUUCUUAUUGCAUUUGCAAUCGUUGAUUAAUCUAUUUAUUUUGAGCUACGCUCCUAAUCAAUUUCUUUUUUGUCCAUUGUUUUGAUCUUUUUCAAGCAUUUUGCAUUGAAAUAAUGAUUAAUGGACUAAUAAUACCUUCACAAAAGGGGUUCUGCAUAUUACUCUGGAAGCUUCUAAACAGUAUAGGAACCUGAAACAGGACUAUCAUUUAGAACUCACCAAGCCUAAGGGUUGAAAAUGUUUCUAAAUUGCGACUACCUCUUCGAAUUUUCUGUCAAAAAUAUCAGUUGAAUGAAGAGGCAAUAUAUUUUGUCAAUGAUACAACCUCGACAAAUGACGAGCAAUGUCAACCUAAGUGUAAAAAGGGGUUAUUCUCGAGAAAAGAAAAAUGAUACUCUGCAUCGAUGCAAAUAUCGAGCAUAUAUAGCGGGUCAUUACACCCAGGGGAUGGUGUAACAAAUCAAAUUGAGUGAAGAUGAAACAAAUCCUAUACCCUGAGUUGCAGUGGGUUGGAUAAGCAAAAAACUCUAUAAAGUUUAAGUGGGGCAAGCUUGUCGAGCAGAUUGAGAUUGUUUCUUUGAGUUUUCUAUUAAGAAUACCAGUUAAACAAGACGACAGCAUAAUACGUCAAUGAUAAGGCUCUGAUGAACAACGAGCAAUGUAACCUUAAGCCUUUUAAAAAGGAUCAUUUUCAUUUCUGCAUUCAUAUACCAUUCAUAACACAUCUAGUUAGGAGCAUUUGAUUCAUUUCGAUCAUAGCAUCCUAAUUAUUUGACAUAAGCAUCACAUCUAGUUAAGAACAUUUGAUUCAUGUCGAUCAUAGUAUCUUAAUUAUUUGGCAUAAGCAUAGGCCUAUGAAACUGAUUCUACAGAUCUUGUCUCCCUGAAGUUGCAGUAGAGCAGAUCGAAGACGGCGAAUCUAGUCUUCCUGAAGUUGCAGUGAAACAGAUUUUAGCCACCAUCCUAUCUCCCUAAGUCGUAGUGGAGUAGGCUGAAAAUUGUAGAUCUUGUCUCCCUGAAGUUACAGUGGAGCAAGUCGAAGAUGGCGAAUCCUGCCUUCCUGAAGUUGCAGUGAAGCAGAUUUAAGCCACCAUCCUAUCUCCCUGAGUCGUAGUGGAGUAGGCUAAAGAUUGUAGACCUUGUCUCCCUGAAGUUGCAGUAGAGUAGAUUGAAGAUGGCGAAUCUAGUCUUCCUGAAGUUGCAGUGAAGCAGAUUUAAGCCACCAUCCUAGCUCCCUAAAGUUGUAGUGGAGUAGACUGAAAAUUGUAGACCUUGUCUCCCUGAAGUUACAGUGGAGCAGAUCGAAGACGGCGAAUCUAGUCUUCCUGAAGUUGCAGAGAAGCAGAUUUAAACCACCAUCCUAUCUCUCUAAAAUUGUAGCGGAGUAGGCUAAAAAUUGUAGAUCUUGUCUCCCUGAAGUUGAGUGGAGCAGAUCAAAGACAGCGAAUCUUGUCUUCCUGAAGUUGCAGUGAAGCAGAUUUAAGCCACCAUCCUAGCUCCCUAAAGUUGUAGUGGAGUAGACUGAAAAUUGUAGACCUUCUCUCCCUAAAGUUGCAGUGGAGUGAUCGAAGACGGUGAAUCUAGUCUUCCUAAAGUUGCAGUGAAGCAGAUUUAAACCACCAUCCUAUCUCUCUAAAAUUGUAGUAGAGUAGGCUAAAAAUUGUAGAUCUUGUCUCCCUGAAGUUGCAGUGGAGCAGAUCAAAGACAGCGAAUCUUGUCUUCUUGAAGUUGCAGUGAAGCAGAUUUAAGCCACCAUCCUAUCUCCCUAAGUUGUAGUGGAAUAGUUUAAAAAAUUAUAGAUCCUGUCUCUCUGAAGUUGCAGUAGAGCAGAUCAAAACACACAUUACUUCCCUGAAGUUGCAGUGGAGCAAACUAAAAUCACAAAUCCCAUAUCACCCUAAAGUCCCAAAGAAGCAGAUUGAAGCUACAAGUCCAAUCUCUCUAAAGUGGUGAUGAAGUGGUCAAAGCAACAAGAGGCGGAGGACUGGAAUGAGGCUACCUGAAGAAAAGAGGCGCUAAGAGAAGUCGAGACUCGGCAGGUCCAAGCAAAUUUGGCCCUUUUAAAGUCUUUGCUCCAUUCUCGUUACACGACAAUGAGCAAAGAGGGGCAGCUGUACAGGCCCAAAUUUGCCCGGCCCAAUUGAUGAAAUUGAACCCAAUCUUAAAAAUCACCCAAACCCAAACUAAACCUAGCCCAAAAGCCCAUAACUUUAACUUUCAGCAAAAAAUAAAAAAGAAACCCUAGCCUAAGAGCUACCGCCGCUCCUCCUAGGGUGCACCACCCGCGCUUUGUCCCGAGGCUUGACUCCUCUGCUCCAUCCCAUCACCCUUUCAAAGCCUGCAAAGAGAGCAAAAAAGAAACGAAAGUAGCAGCCAUAACAGAGGCUGAAACAGUGAUAGAACAGUAGCAAGGACAAGAGCAUACAUAGAGCAGAACCUAGACAUAAACAGUAACGAGGAAUAAUAUUGUAUUGUUAUUUUUCGGCUAUAAAGCCACUGAAAAACGGAUGUAAAAAAGGAGGGAUUCAAAAAAUAUACGGAAAUCAAUCAAAAACGAAAAUUUCAAAAGGUUAUCUUUUGCUCUUAGUUUGGUUUCAAUUUCUGUUUUCAUAUUUUUUUUUCUUUUUAUUAUUACAUUCGAAAAUCAAAAAGAAAAA
This 7729-nucleotide long non-coding RNA is filed under the name Gossypium barbadense (sea-island cotton). Its description in RNAcentral is "long non-coding RNA (GBAR_LNC004169)". Lineage: Eukaryota; Viridiplantae; Streptophyta; Magnoliopsida; Malvales; Malvaceae. The record is from RNAcentral.